This is a long non-coding RNA of Cucurbita maxima (winter squash), 506 nucleotides long. RefSeq lists it as uncharacterized. The transcript has 2 exons. The record is from RefSeq and is a predicted model, not a curated record. NCBI's taxonomy places the organism in Eukaryota, Viridiplantae, Streptophyta, Magnoliopsida, Cucurbitales, Cucurbitaceae.
GAAUUAACAGCAGCAGUGUAAAAUGUUUGGCAAGAGGGGGGUAAGAAAUAGUUUACUAUGUGUAAAUACAAAGGGGGAGGUUAAACAGAGAUUUUAUCAAAUAUUUUGACAGCCAGUUAAACAUAAAAAUUUUAGAAUCAACCGAACUAGGAACAUGAAGCAUCCUGUAUUUGAAUAUGCAUCUUUGGGUUCAUUAAAUAUUAAGAAGAAGCUGGAGGGAAAGAGGGAGGGAGACCCUGAAACUUCUUUUAUAAGAUCACCGCUUAAGGCUGAAACUUUGGAAUAUAUUCCAAUAUUUUAGCAGAAGUACUUAUGAAAGAAAAGCAGAACCGCAACGAAUCAAAGAAAAGCAGAAGCGGCGCUGGUCGGAGUUUUCUUCUUCUUCUUCGUCUUCCUCCUGAAGCUUCUCUGUUGUUCCGUAUUCGAUUGUCCGUGUAAAAUUCUGACGGAAUCUUCAACCAAACAUUCACAUUUUUUUAAUCUUCAACAAUCAAAUCAAUGAAAAC